This 763-nucleotide ribosomal RNA is filed under the name uncultured bacterium. RNAcentral's name for it is "bacterial SSU rRNA". It matches the Rfam family "Bacterial small subunit ribosomal RNA", at positions 629 to 1393 of the family's 1533-position model. The record is from RNAcentral.
UGAACUGGGNGACUAGAGUGUGUCAGAGGGAGGUAGAAUNCCACGUGUAGCAGUGAAAUGCGUAGAGAUGUGGAGGAAUACCGAUGGNGAAGGCAGCCUCCUGGGAUAACACUGACGUUCAUGCCCGAAAGCGUGGGUAGCAAACAGGAUUAGAUACCCUGGUAGUNCACGCCCUAAACGAUGUCGAUUAGCUGUUGGGCAGCAUGACUGCUUAGUAGCGAAGCUAACGCGUGAAAUCGACCGCCUGGGGAGUACGGUCGCAAGAUUAAAACUCAAAGGAAUUGACGGGGACCCGCACAAGCGGUGGAUGAUGUGGAUUAAUUCGAUGCAACGCGAAGAACCUUACCUGGUCUUGACAUGUACGGAACCCUCCAGAGACGGAGGAGUGCCUUCGGGAGCCGUAACACAGGUGCUGCAUGGCUGUCGUCAGCUCGUGUCGUGAGAUGUUGGGUUAAGUCCCGCAACGAGCGCAACCCUUGUCAUUAGUUGCCAUCAUUAAGUUGGGCACUCUAAUGAGACUGCCGGUGACAAGCCGGAGGAAGGUGGGGAUGACGUCAAGUCCUCAUGGCCCUUAUGACCAGGGCUUCACACGUCAUACAAUGGUCGGUACAGAGGGUAGCCAAGCCGCGAGGCGGAGCCAAUCUCACAAAACUGAUCGUAGUCCGGAUUGCACUCUGCAACUCGAGUGCAUGAAGUCGGAAUCGCUAGUAAUCGCAGGUCAGCAUACUGCGGUGAAUACGUUCCCGGGUCUUGUACACACCGC